This 835-nucleotide ribosomal RNA is filed under the name uncultured bacterium. RNAcentral describes it as "bacterial SSU rRNA". It matches the Rfam family "Bacterial small subunit ribosomal RNA", at positions 90 to 919 of the family's 1533-position model. The record is from RNAcentral.
AUUCAGCGGCGGACGGGUGAGUAAUGCCUAGGAAUCUGCCCGAUAGUGGGGGACAACGUUUCGAAAGGAACGCUAAUACCGCAUACGUCCUACGGGAGAAAGCAGGGGACCUUCGGGCCUUGCGCUAUCGGAUGAGCCUAGGUCGGAUUAGCUAGUUGGUGGGGUAAAGGCUCACCAAGGCGACGAUCCGUAACUGGUCUGAGAGGAUGAUCAGUCACACUGGAACUGAGACACGGUCCAGACUCCUACGGGAGGCAGCAGUGGGGAAUAUUGGACAAUGGGCGAAAGCCUGAUCCAGCCAUGCCGCGUGUGUGAAGAAGGUCUUCGGAUUGUAAAGCACUUUAAGCUGGGAGGAAGGGCAGUAAGCUAAUACCUUGCUGUUUUGACGUUACCAGCAGAAUAAGCACCGGCUAACUUCGUGCCAGCAGCCGCGGUAAUACGAAGGGUGCAAGCGUUAAUCGGAAUUACUGGGCGUAAAGCGCGCGUAGGUGGUUCAGCAAGUUGGAUGUGAAAGCCCCGGGCUCAACCUGGGAACUGCAUCCAAAACUACUGAGCUAGAGUACGGUAGAGGGUGGUGGAAUUUCCUGUGUAGCGGUGAAAUGCGUAGAUAUAGGAAGGAACACCAGUGGCGAAGGCGACCACCUGGACUGAUACUGACACUGAGGUGCGAAAGCGUGGGGAGCAAACAGGAUUAGAUACCCUGGUAGUCCACGCCGUAAACGAUGUCAACUAGCUGUUGGGUUCCUUGAGAACUUAGUAGCGAAGCUAACGCGAUAAGUUGACCGCCUGGGGAGUACGGCCGCAAAGGUUAAAAACUCAAAUGAAUUGACGGGGG